UUUUAAGUUAAUAAAAACAAUUUUGCAAAUUGUUUUUUCUUAAAGU
RNAcentral lists this transfer RNA (46 nucleotides) under Tetranychus evansi (red spider mite). RNAcentral describes it as "tRNA-Ala". Lineage: Eukaryota; Metazoa; Arthropoda; Arachnida; Trombidiformes; Tetranychidae. The record is from RNAcentral. RNAcentral also lists the same sequence under 1 other name.